Molecule: long non-coding RNA, 13851 nt
Organism: Mus musculus (house mouse)
Lineage: Eukaryota; Metazoa; Chordata; Mammalia; Rodentia; Muridae
Product: predicted gene, 50287
Exons: 3
Source: RefSeq, a predicted model, not a curated record
GGGCACACAGUUGAAGGGAUGUCUUGCUAAAGCAGACAUGUGAAAGAACGUUUUCCUGAAGCAGACACAGGUAAGAAGGUGUUUUCUGGAGCAGACACAUGACAGGAGCCGGGAUGAAGGAGUAUAAAUAUGACCCCUCAGACAGUGGGAGAUGAGCACUGAGCGUUGCAUUGGCUUGCUUCCUCUUCUUUCCUAACGACAAGCAUAUAUUGGUUUACUUACAUAGCUUUGUUGAGCUAAACUUGUGGUAACCUAGCUAUUGAGAGAAAUUCACCCAAGAACUGCUCCUGAUGUUCCUGUGGCAGCUUGCCCCUUCGGCAGCCUCACCUCAGGCUGCUUGGAAAAACUUCAGGAUUGAACUACAGCUGUUGGUUCCUGCCUGGUGUCUGCCUGCCUAGAGGACUGGUCUGCAGCUGCUGAGUCAGAUUUGGUGUUUGCUCUGGGACUGAACUGCUGCCAAGAAAGAGCGAGCUCACCCACAAAGAACUAUUGCUGAACAGGUCCACUUCCCCCGUACAUUAAUAACUUUUCCUUUCCACUAUCUCUGCUGGGCAGCGGGGCUAGAGGAGAGGUUGAACCCUUACUAAAAGUUGGUUGCAAAAAUGUAUGCCUACACACUCUCAACACAGUUUCAUAUGCCAAGGCUCUUUGCGAAUAGUUCAUGAUUUUGGGGGGGGGGGCACCCUCCAAGAUACUUACCUAUUUUUGAGCCCAAGUCCUGUGCACCCAGGCUAGCCCCAAACUCCCUUUGUAGUCAAGGGACCUUGAGCUCCUGAUCUUUCUGCCUUUCAUGCCUUUCAGGCAUGUGUUUCCUGGUUUAUUCAGCACUGGGGAUCAAGCCCAAGGCUUUUGUGCAUUCGAGGUAAAUACUCUACAAACUGGACUGUAUCCCUAGCCUGGGGAUGUCUCGAUGGGCAAAAUAUCAUCAUGACAUCUGCCAGUGUCUGAGCUAAAGUAUGCAGUUCUUUCCUGGUACAUACACACUGCGGAGAGAAGAGUUGAGGUUACGACAGGAACUCUGGUACACAAGUUCUAGUGGUGAAUUCUGGCUGAUUCCGUUAUCUUGUGACUGCAAUUCUCUUUUCCAGGAGGGGAAACAUUCUCAUUAGUGGGUGUUAGCAUUGCGUCGGUAUCAAGGAACAGAUAUGAGGAUGUUAGCAUUGUGCCAGUAUCAGGGAACAGAUAUGGGGCCAGUGUUCCAUACCUGACUGUACCCUUAAGAGCUGUAUGACUUUUGGCUAGAUGAUUUCAACAUGCUGAGUGUACUGCAAAUUCCUCUUGUGUAAGAGGUGGCAAGGCCCACCUCAGAAGACUAGGAAAUGAUGGGAUAUUUAUAAGCGCUCACAACAGACACAUGAGUGCAUCAGACAGUUCAUAUACGUUCUCUACAACUCAAGCCAGUAUUUGUUUAGAAUGUGCUGUGAGGACCUGUGCAGUCCUCAUUGCAAAGAGCCAAGGAGGAUAUAACUCCUACCCCAAGCCACUCAGAUUCUAAAGGAAGGCGUGUGCUGGCGUAACAACGCACAUAGUACUAGAAAACUGAGAAGAAAUCAGUCGAUCGAUUCUGAAAAUAAAAACUGUUUUACUCAGUGAGAGCAAAAGUGUUUUGGAUAAUUACUGUUUCUCCAAAUAUUGAAAAAUAAAAUGAAUGACCACAUUCGAGAAGGGUUGGUUUUUGUGUUAUGCAUCCCUCUGUAGUUAUUUGACACAAAGAUGCUUGUCAGAGAGAAGGUGGCAAUGAACACUGAGGAAUCCCUUGCCAAGCACGUCUAAGAUUUUUCUCACGGCACUCAAUGGUCUGCAGACUAUGAGACCUGUAUGACCACUGUAUGAGUUCUCUGAAUCUCAGAUACGCUAUGGUGCAGGGGGAUGCAAAGGCAGGAAAAACUCUCAGGCUUAAAGCCAAUUUGGUUAUUGCUGAAACAGAGGUUUUCAAGUUUUUUUUUUAAACAAACACUGCUUUAGCAUAAAAUUGUGCAUGGUUAAAUGCAUUGUUUUACUAGUGGAAGCAUAAGUUAUGGUUAUGUUUUAAGCCAACUCCUUGAUGACUGUAAAUAUUUAUUUAUUAUAAAGCCGAUAAUGAGAACAAUGUGGAUUUUGUGCUGAACACGGAAAUUUGACCCUGUAGUCAAAGUCAAGGCAUUUCUAGCUGUCCCGGCCCCACUGUUUAAGACAACUCUGCAUGGUAAAAUUGCACAUUAAACGGAUUUUUAAAUAAGUCCUGUUGUAAUCCAGUUCAUUCUUCAAAUAGGUAACUCAGAUGCUUAGAAUUGGAAUUAAAGUCUAUUUGAUUAUUUUAUGAUAAAUACGUAUCCCCCAUUUCUCUGUGUCAGGCAGGGGUGCUCAGUGUCAGAGGGACCUUAGGGUACAUGUGACCAUGGUUCUUAGCCUCAGGGUGAGUGGAAGUCCUGGGAAGUUGAACACUGACAGGUUGAUUUUCCUCCAGCAGUGUGACAGGACAGUGUCUAGCUAACCAGGAUGGAAAGGUCUGUCUUUUCAUAUGUCUUAGUGCCUUUUCACAUGUCAUCUGAGUGUCUAGCACAGAGUGGCUGACAUCCUUGGGAAACUGUAACUGUGACUCUACCUCCUUGCCUUUACUCACAUGCAGUGGAUCUUGGCUAUUGCUGGCAACCCUGAGCGCUAGUGUAUCUACUUUAGUGCCUGGGAACUGGUAAAUCCAGGUCAGGAUUGUAGACAUUCUGACAGACUUAAGGACUUCUGGAUACUUUCACAUUAGAAGUACAGUUUGUAGCACUCUGAAAGAAACAUAGUAUCUACCCUAGCAGUAUAAAUGCUGUAUUUCAUUUCUUAAAUUUAGUCCAUUAGACAAGAGAUCCUGAUUACAGACGUUAUUUUCUUUUACAAUCAUUUUAAAGAUGAAAAUUAGACUUAACUAUAUCUUUAGCAGUUGGAAAAUGAUUUGCUUUCAACGUUGGGAAUCUUCACAGUGGCAAACAAUUCUGAGAGUGAACUCUACAACCUGGCUGUGCCUAGCUUUGGAAGCAAGAUAGCAUAAGAUCUGGGAUGAGGACAAAUGUGCGCGUAGCCUUAGGGCUGAUUUAUGAAAGUAGAGAUCUCACCCUUAGUCUCUGAUACCCAUCAGUGGUCCUGUGAUAACUCUCAAGCUCCACCCAGUGUGGAAGAGAGCCCCCUGUUGACUGCUUGCAGAACACAGUCACCUCCCUGAAGCCUUCAGAUCAGGAUGUAGAACUCUCAGCUCCCUCUGCACCAUGCCUGCCAGCACACUGCCAUGCUUCCCACUAUGAUGAUAAUGGACUGAACCUCUGAACCUGUAUGCCAGCCCCAAUGAAAUGUUUUCCUUUGUAAGAGUUGCAUUGGUCAUGGUGUCUCUUCACAGAAAUGAAACUCUAAGACAGGUGGUAACAAAAUGGCUGUGGGUGGGCAGAUCCCUCUGUUGGCAUCACAUCUACUACUGCUGAGUUUCAUCUGUGCAAGGGCAGUUGUGAGACUUCCUUCUUGUGUGAGACUUUCCCAGCAGGUAACUGACCUGAGACUAGUCCUUGGUCUGUCCAGAGUUUUCUCAGAGCUACACCUCACUUCCUUCCCAGUCAUACUUCCUCACCCCUGCUCUUCACACCCUGUCAGAGCUACACCCACUUGCUUCCGCCCUGCCUUCUUCAGAGUUGUUCCACACCCUACAGCUUCUCAUCCUAUCUCAGUGUCUGCCCCAGGAAGAGUCAAAGCUGACGAAAUGCCAGGGGGAUGAAAGGAUUUUCUUUUCUUUUUUCUUUUUUAAAUGCAAGGUUCAUUCUGAAUGAUAAUUGGGACCCAGUAACAUUUACAUCCCCCCCCCCCAAUUCUGUCUUUCAACCCCAGGUUCUUUUAUGAACUACCCCACAACACUAAACAGGGAAAACUUUUAAAAGCAUUCUAAAUGUGAGGGGGAAAAAGAUUCUUUAGGAAAUUCUGGCAAAAGCAAUGAAGGUUGAGUUGGAAUCCAACAUAAAGGAGGAUAUCAAAAGUUAUUAAGAGAGAGCCGUCCAGCCAUCGUGUGUCCUGGUGGAUGUGGAAGCAUGCUUACACACAUGUGUGGAGGCCAUGUUGGGAUUCUGUGCUUUAUAACUUUGAGGCAAGGUCUCUCACUGGAUCUGGUGCUCAGUGUUUCAGUUAGGCUAGCUGCCCAGCUAGCUCUGUGGCUGUGUCUGUCUGCCAUGCAGAAAUGGGGUUAUACAAUGUUUGCCCAGUCUCAGCUGUCAUGUAGGCAUGCAGGACUGGGUUACAUGUGUGUGGCCAGUCUCAGCUGUUAUGUAGAAUCUGGGGCUGCGUGCUCAGGGUGUGACAUUUGUGCACCAAGCAUUUUACCCGUGAAUCUACCUUCCUAGUUCCUUAGUCAUUUUUUUUUAAAUGUGGAAAUGAAACUCUGGAGAUAAUCUGGGGAUGGUGGCACAUGCUUCCCGGAGGUAGACGCAGGAAGAGCGUCAAGGGAUCAAGGUCACUGUCAGUUCCAGAGCCAGUCUCAAGCCAGCUUGGGCUAUAUGACACUGUCUUUAAAAAAAUAAAACAAGCAAGCGAAUGAAUGAAUGAAUGAAUGAAUGAUAUAAAAGAAAGAAACUCUGGGUAAAGGCUUUGAUUUUUGUUUGUUUAUUUAAUUUGGCUCCAAAGAAGGUUGCACGUAAAUUUCUGAGGACAAGGAUCUGUCAUAGUUAAGAAAGGAAGCAAUUAGAGUAGAAAAAUAUCUCAGAAGCCCUUUCCAGGUCAGUAUGAAUAGCAACAAUAUUCCAGAGAGAGUGCCAACACAUCACGGGGCAGGAGAGACUUGGAGGCAGGAAAUAAUGCUAUCGAGUGUGGACUUUUGCAGCUAAAUGGAAAGUCAGGCCAAGGAAAUGGAGGGCAGAUGGAGAGAUGGCAGGAGAAGGUUUCUCUCUCUUUGAAGUGCAUUUUCAAAGGCUAAAAACCAAAGCUGAACUUGAUGCCUACCAGAUGUAAAAUGAAAGUGUCAACAUUAAAAUCAAGCAAACAGACGAAAAGAGAACAGCUCAUGAGAGAGAGUACCCUGAACUGCUCACACUUUAUGCCACGGUCCUCAGGUGGCUAACCCAAGGAAACGGUAAAGAACCACCCCCAAUUUGUGUCCGAUUAUGCAGAGCUAGAGUGGAAAACUUUAAUACAGUGACUAGGGCACCAAAAGGAUGGCAGGCGGGAGGGUUGCUCGAGUCUGAAGCUCCUUCCGGAUAGUCAGAAGAGAAGCCUGAUGUUCGCUGUCAUCUGGACCCCAACUCCACACUUCUGCUACAGUGUUGCAGACCAAGACGUCAUGAAUUGGCUGUUAUGAAGAUGAAGGUAUCAGCUUAGCACUACUGAAAUCCUGAAUUACUCUGUUGAGUAGCACAGCGGAGACCAUGUUCUAACCAUUAUCUUACACCGGGAAGCUGCCUGUUGCCUGCUAGGUCCGGGAUAUAGUCCGUCAUACCAGGGAGUUCAGGGUGGCGGAUGCUUCAGAGCAACAAGUCACGUGACAUCCACAGUCAGGAGAUGGAAGGAAGGUGUGCCCGCUGACUGUCCAGCUCAUCAUCUUGGACCCACCCCUAAGAGAUGAUACCAGCCACAGUGGCCUGGGUCUAUCUCCUCAUGUCAUUCAGUGUCAUCGAACAGUACCCAGAAGAGCCCACAGACCAUCCUCUUCUACGUACUCCCUCACUGAGACACCUCCCAGCUGAUUUCAGACUGUCGUGUUGAUAACCAACACUGACGAUCACUGGUCAUUAAAAAAUAUCCUUGUCCUUAAAAGAAAUCAUUUAUUACAGUACAGAAAAAAAUACAGGAAAAAAAAGAGGAACGUGUGAACAUUGUCCUGAGUCCCACGUCUCAAGGGACUCAUUAGCAAAAGUUCUGCCUCUCUUCCCAAGUCUCAACUUGUCCACCAGCGUGUCGUAUAUCAAUUUAUGGUUUAUAUUAAAAUUGCCACAUGUUUAUCUUGUUGCUUCCUGCUCAGCUUCGUGGCGCUCACGGAGACUGCGGUUCUGUAACUAACGUGUCGCCGCAAAUGUUCUCCGCAUUUGCAUGGCACAUCAGAGGUCAGGGGUCACCUGCUUCAUAAUGGACCUGCCUCAUAAGUGGUCCAGUGAAGUUGGAGAUGAGGAAGAGAGAGGUGGAGACACGUGACGGCUCCCAAUGCUUUUUGACCAGCAGCUGUCAUUAAUGUACUGGUAUGGUGCACACUGCGCGCGGAUUGCCAGGCACACUGCCAGAGCAAGGUGCAGAAUUCGCUCUUGGGGAGUGGAGGUAGACAGUGGGGUAAUGAACGUUCUGUCACAAUGACAGGCCAACAGAUAACACAUACAUCUUAUUUUCAAGUUUGAGAAUGUGCGUCCUUCAGUUCCAAUUUCUCCUCCAGGAAAAUCAGAAAUCAGGCAGCCUGGUUUAGCAUUCCCUCAUGUUAACAUGUAGCUGUUGCUGAGAGCUGCCGGGACCUAUUGAAGAGGCAUUUCCAUUUGCCACAGUCGCCAUCCUUCCCUUCUGUCUCACCAAUCAGUCACUCCCCUCACCGAACAGGUCCCGUGACCUAUGCAGACAUUUAAGCCCUUGGCAGUUACCCAGACAGACUACGCUCCUGACUAACAUUUAGGGGCAUCCCAACAUUUCAUUAUUAUAUACAUUUCCAUCUACAUAUUAACAUUCUGAAUGUGUGUUGAGAUGCAUUUAAUUACUGAGAGGUCAGUAGAGAUAGUUCACAUUUCACUAAAGCCGUGGUCAGACUGUCUCUCCAACAGUGCAGUACUUUCAUUUCCUUCAAUGCAGCCGGCAGUGGGGAUGACGGACUCACUUUGUCCUUAUCUAGUGGGUCACCAACGGACCUCCACUCUAGCAUCUUUAAGGUAGCAGCAGCUGAGGGGACCCUCACAGCCCUCUAGGUGUCCCUGGUUUAUUUCUUAGGCAGACAUGCCUGUGGAGGCCAUGCCUGUUCACUUCCCGAGUUUAGUUUCUGAGGGUCACGUGUCUGACAAAUUAACCAGGACUCUUUCAGUUGGGAGUAUUGAUUCUGUUAUAUUAAUAAACACCACAGUUUGCCAAAUAUAGAUUGCAUCUGUCACGGUGACAGCCACCAACACUAGCCUUUUACUUUGUGAGUUUUCCUCAUGAAAAGUCUACAAAAAAUAUUUCCUGUAUUGUCAUGUGCCCGUGUGUUCAUCGUGCAGGCCCAUGCAUGUGGGUCUUGGGUACUGUUCCUCAGGGGUUGACCACCUUGUGUUUCCUUUAAUUUUCGAGGGUAUAAUUUAAUUAUCUCUUGCUCUUUCUUGCUUUUUGAGGCAGAAUUUCUUGGUGGCUUGGAGCCUGCUGACUGAACCCUGGAACCCCCCCUCUCCACCCCUCAAGCUUGGAUUAUGAAUGCCACCAUCACAUCUGAUUUUUUUUUUCAAGGUGGGUCCUUGGGACUGGGCGCAAGUCCCUGUGAGCACUUUACCGACUGAGCCACUUUUAUAGCCUCUGUUUUAUCUUGUUCUAGUAUCCGUAUGCAUGUCCUUUUAUAAUAUGCUAUUUGAGCCAUCCAGAAGUUAAUUUAAGCUGUGAUUUCAAGUGGUAAUUUUUGAACAUCAUCUAGCUGCUGGUCUUCAUACUAUUUUGGAACAGUCAUCCUUAGCCCAUUUAUUUAUAGACUUUAUUAUUGCGCUAAAUUACCAUAAUUAUUUGUGCCUAUUUUUGUAUUCUUUACUGAUUAAUUUGUUCUGACUUCAUGUUGCUUUAAUUGCUAUAGUUUAAUGGAUUAAUACCUAGAAUGAUUAUUCCCUUUCAAAAUUUUUUCAUUAUGAUUUCCCAGGAUUUUUACUAGAUUUUUUUUCUUUUGUUUCGUUGUCUUAAAUAAACUGAUGGCCGUUUUUCCAGGCAUCUUUCCCAUGCCAGCUCUGCUAGGUUGAUGUACACUUGUCUUGCACUUGUCUCAGAACAGCUUGGUUCCUUUAUGCUGUGAAACACUUUAAUCCACACAGGCAAGUUUAUUUCCUCAAGGUUUAUGAGAAUUCAUUUGUAAAACCAGGGGCACAUUUUUUUUUCUUUUCUUUUUCUUUUUUUUUUUUAAAGAUACCAGUGUGGUAUCUCUAAGUGGCUUUUAAAGAGUUAUCCUGUAAAUAUUGGCCAACAUAAGGCUUCCAUGAUAGCCUAUGACUUCCUUUAUUAUUUAGAAGGACAGUAUAGGCUGCCUCACAGGAUGUAACCUACAUAUCAGGAGGAGAGCACGCAUUGGACCCACAUAAGAUAUUUUUAACAUGCCAAUUUUCUGGGUGCUUUAGGGAAACCAUAGGACAGUGUUUGAUGGUAAUGACUGUUGGUAGUGACAACGCCGUGUAAACCCAUCCUUCCUGCCUCCCACACACAUGUCCUCUGCCCAGCCAUGCUCCCACUCUCCCUGUGACCCACACCUUUGCAGACUGAGUCCAGUGCUCAGCUCAGCCCCCUCUUAGGCCUCCGUUUCUCCUUCUGCACAUCGCUGCUGUUAUGGCCCCUCUUCAGCAGGUGUUCUUACACUACUGUAAUGAACUUCCUCGGUGCCUUCGCAAAGACAUUCCCAUGUCUGAAGAGAGUCUGGGCCUUACUCAUUGUCGUCUUCCUGCAUGAAGGGAUUUAGAUGUUCAGUAGCUUUACUGAAUGCACAAAGCAAGGCUGUGGCCUUCCUGGAGGAGCGGAAAGAAGCAGGCAGAAACACUACCUUUCAAUGGAUUCCUUAGGUGGAGGAGUCAGGGAAGCAGGAAGUGGUUUUAAGCUCUCCCCAGACCUUCCAGGAUACUCGAAGGAUUUUGUCCACAAAGGAGAAGCAGAAAGAAUGCGCCUGUGCAUGGGCAGCUGGAUGAGUGACCAGUGGGAAUGCACAGUUCUGGAGAACACCAAAUUACAACAAACACCUCUGGGCUUUUCAAAGCGGUCCCAGCAGGACAGAGACAGUGGUCCCUUCAGGAUCCGGUUGGAUCCAGUGUUGCCUCUUUAAUCUGUAAUCAUGCACAUCCCUGUCUAUUUGUGCUAAAGUUUGAUGGCAAAAAUGUUCUUUCUUACUUUUUUAUAAAGGACAGAUCUUUGGAGGAGUCAAGAGAACAGUAACAAUGUAACAGCGAUUUGGAGUAAGCUGCUUUUGAUGAAAUCGUCUUAAUUACAUGGCCCAUGUUAACACGGUUCAGUCUUGAAUGUUAGUCUCACCCCAGGCACUUGGCAACUUGAAUUUUACUUAAGAAAACAAGUAGACUAGAGUCACCAUACAGCUUGUGAGUGAAGUCACAGAGACUUAGUCCAGUGAUUAGGGAGCCAUCUACCUGACCAAGAACAGGAGAUAACGUGGAAGCUCAUCUGUGGACGCUGCGUGCUUCUGCACAGACCCACGUGCUAUUCCUCAGCACCAGAAGCCAGGGUUAUUACGGCUGGCUUUACAUUGGCACAAGUGAAUAUCUGUGCUGGUGCUCCGGAAAUCUGAUCCUGCCACUCUCACUGGCUGGCUUAUCAGCAUCACAAACAUCGCAGAGAUCCAUGAGCUCAUAUUCCUAACGAAGAAGCCAUUGGCUGCUCAUGGCUGGGGCAGGGAAGGACCCUCCCUGUUCUUUAAUGGAGGGAUCAUAUUCCAGCACACAGUUAACAGGGCAUAUGGGCAGCACAAAUUAGACUCUGGGUUAUUUUAAAAAGAUAUGAGAGAAAAAGACACAGAGUUGGGGGAAGGAUAUGGGAGGAGUUACAGGGAAAUGGGAGGAGUUACAGGGUAAAUGGGAGGGUGGCAAUGAUAAAAAUAUAUGGCAUGAAAUAGUUAACAAAAUGUUACUUUUAAAAAAGAAUCUAACUCAACCACUCUUAACAAUCCAACACUAGUCAGUGUGUUGGUAGCUACUUUAAAAUCUAGUUUUCUCUUAGAUAUUUUUUCCUAGCACAUUUAUAUCCUACUUUUUUUUGACAACUCUAAAUAAAUAGUAAUUUUAUAGAACAGAUACAUUUUCGUGGAUCCUGCCUAUCUGUAUACACACACUGUACCUGUUUGUAGACACACAACAUACUUGUCUGUAUACACACACCAUGUCUGUCUGUAUACACACACCAUGUCUGUCUGUAGACACAUACUGUGCCUGCCUGUAGACACACACUGUGCCUGCCUGUAGACAUUCACCAUGCCUGUCUGUAGACACACAGCAUGCCUGUUUGUAUACACAUACUGUGUCUAUCUGUAGUCAGUUUCUGAGUUGAAUUUUUGUGGCACUAAAUUGAAAGUAUUGCUUAGUGGAUAGAUAGUGACAGGACCAGUACAUUUCUGAAACAGACUCGUGGUUUAGAAAAUAGAAACACAGUGCAGAAGUUGUGCUUCAGUGCCUGGAUGCCUAAGAAAAGUCCUACCCACGAUUUCAGUCCCACGCCUCCAACUAUGCUGUGGACAGUGGAAUGACAAUGUUCCCUUCUUGGGCAUCUUGGAUCAAAACUGAUGCUGCUUUGGACAACUGGUUCAGUUCCAGGUCAACUACAGACAAGGCUCUAGUACAGUAUAGGAUUCAGCUUCCAUGGACCCCGAAGUUUUCUUUAAAUUCUCCUAUUUUCCCUUUAUUUCCUCAGUGUGUUAGCCAGCUUACUGUUACUAUGUCAAAACACCUGAGGCAGACCACCUAGAGGGAGGAAAGGUUUCUUUGGCCCACAGUUUUGGUGGUUUUAGUUCCCUGUUGGGAGCUAUUAAGACAACACAAUUGUCCUGAUCUCUGAAUUGGGCCUCUCUCCCCCCACCCCCAGAAGAAAAGGGGGUCACAAGCGGGCCACCAAUGCACCGCUCUGAGAACAACCACAGAUUGUUCCAGCCCUAAGUCAGCGCCGGAUGUCCUGACCACAAAAUAUACCCUGAUACCACCAAGUUCCUGUUUCCCCAUGUAGUCGCCAAAAGAAAAAUUUCCGCUGCCCCAUCCCUCUUGCUGAGAAGUACUUUCUCCUUUGCUUGUGCAUUUAAGCCUUGCCUUGCUGAAUACAGUGAGACCUUGAUGCUAAUCAGACUGCUUCUGUGUGUCGUUCAUUGCACUUGGUUCUCGUCUCUCUCUCCCCCCAUUUGGUUCUUAGGAGAAGGUCCCCUCGAGACCCUCGAAUAACUGGACCUGCUGGAUGGGUCAGUUCACAUUGUUGGUUGCUGUGUCAUGGAAGGGGAAAUGGUGGGGGAAGCUGCUUACAUUGUGGAAGCAAAGAGAAGAAAGAGGAGAGGGUUGGGUACCAGUAACUUCCUUAAAGGCAAGCUCUAACCACCGACCUUCCUCCCUCUAGGCCUCAGUAUAAAGGUGACACCACAGGCUGAGGGCCAACCGUAAACACACAGGCAUUAUAGAAACAAACUCCAGCUCCGUAGAGACACAAGCUCCUCCCAAGUACUUCAUCCGUUCAUUCUUGAAAAAUGGGUUACAGUGUUCGCUGGAUUCUUCUGUCUGCUGAUCUGACCUUAUCAGUUCUGGAACACAGGAAAGGCUCUCCUUUGCCUCCACUACAUCCUCCAUGGCCCUCAGGACUCAGUCAGCACCGUGUGUCUGAAGAGGCACACGCCUGAGGGAGGCGCAUUUCAUGCCGGUCACCUGCCUCAACUACAGACCUUCCGCACCCAGCACUGUGGCCCAGGCUAACCCCCUCACUUCUGAACUGUCCCUAGAAAUGGCAUGAGUCUUGGGUUCUGAAUUCAGGGCCAGUGAACCUUCUCUCUCAGCUUCUUCCUCCAUGUUUCUGCUGACCCAUCAUGUGCUCAGUAAAACAUAGAACUACUGUCUGUUGGACAAUUUACCCCUUGCCCCUCAGAAGGAAAGUAAGAUAUACAGAAGAAAAGAUAUUUUCUAAUGUACAUUUGGUUUUACCCAUCAGGCCAUCUUUUUGGUUAUACAUCAUUUUUUUUUUCAGUCAGUGAACAGACAGGUGCUCUAGGGGUUACACCGAUCCCUUAAAGCUACAGAGCUUGUAACUCCGGAGUUUUGCUCUUUAUUCUAAAUCCUACUCUUUAAAGGUCUUCGCAAACUCUUUCAAAGUCCUUCAUAGCCAUCUACUAUCAAACUUUCUAACUCUUUCUUCUUUACUUUACCUGGUGGCUGGAUGAGUCACGGGAUCAUGGCCUCCAUGUCUUAAACAUGCCUUUCCCAUCUCACACUCGCUCUCUGGAAAUGCAUCCUUUGCUCUCAUCCACACGACCCUGAGUGCAUGGGUAGCAGUGCCUUCUGAGCUGCUGAAGUACACAACCAUUCAGUUCUAUUCAUUUCUCCCUGUUCUUGGAGUGUUGGUACCCAGCUCUGCCUCCUCUUUCCCAAGCUUCUACAACAAACACGCCCAGAGAAAACUCACCAGCAAGUGUUAAAAUGCAAUCUGUCUUGAUGGAGUUUCAAAGUAUUGAUACACUCUUAGUAUAACAACCUAUGAAACAGUAUUUUAUCAGGCUGUGGAAUACUUGAUUAGAUCACUUUGUUAGAAAGUGGAGUAAUAAAAUUAGUGGUAUAACUACAAUACAGGGGUGCAAACAGGCUCGCAGACCACGCUCAUCUCUCCUCGUUCCCUGACCAGUAUUUCCUGAUCAUGAAGAACUUCGUUGUGUCUAAAUCCAUGCUCUGACUUGCUGAAGGGACCCAGGUGUCCUGUAGCUCCCCCAAAACACAUACCCUAGAGUUUAAGCAAGGCACUCCUAGCUAAACCUGCUUUCAAUGUGUCCAUAGAGUGUGAAGCUUUGCAGCUACGAACUCAUUAUCCUUGAGGUAGCAAGAAAGGCAGUAUGAGCCACGUUUUUAAAAAGAUUUUCUGUACCUAUUGAAGUCAUUGGUAGGUACACGGGACAGAAAAUCUAACACUAGAGGUGCAAGUCAGAAAUCACACAUAGAAAGGAAAGCAUUUUUAAAACUCUACAGUUGUGGAAACUGUAAUCUGCCCCUCUGAGGUAGAACCUUAUGCUGGGUGUCAUCCCACUCCCCCUAUGAGGAUCAGUACCCGACUGUAAUACAAGCCUCAUUGCGUGGUGAUGGUAUCAGGAUCAGCAGCAAGCACAGCAGGAACCCUCCACAGACCCUCCACAGCAGGCCUAGUGCAUUCUCCUCCCCUUUAGGCUAACGCACCUUGAUUCAUGAGUGCCACAGAGCUGUCUUUGUUUCUUUGCCCUGCAUCUAUCAUUCCAUAAGUGUGCGCUUCCGCACCACUCAUCUGCAAGGGGCUGACGAGCGGAAUUAAUAAUGCGAUGUCCUAUUUACACGGGCAGUGUUGAGAAUGUGCACAGCCAGCCGAUCGAUGAGUCCGAACGGAUAAAGGAAGCACUUCUAGCUUACCGAGGUUGUGGGCACCUCAGCUAGGAAAACUCACUGCCAAUUCCAAAGGACACCAGCACUCCAACUUUUAAGGUGAGAUUUGAAAGUUUCCUUUCACUGCAAGAACACCAGAUCCCUUACAGAAAAAGAGAGCUGAGUGAUUUUUCUACCUGCUGAGGACAAUUUUUAAAACGAAAGAAAGUGAAGAAUCAAAGCCUAGUAAAUGGCUCUAAGGUGGAGAGUGACCGAGAGGACUCGGGGCAUCGCUCUGCAUGUGAAUCCUCUGUCCCAAGCACGGAGAACGGUCCGUACAUAAUUUAACUGGCUCUGCCGUCCACCCAGAGGUAACUAUCUCUUUUUACUUGCCGGAGUGUGCACCUCCAAGAGAAAAGACAGACACGUUUCCUUGGGCCGUUUGGUGAUGGCUACCGGCCUUUCCCAGACUGCUGUCUCCCGCACUCUGCUCCCUGGUCUACUGUUCCCAUUGUAAGCCGGCUUAAUCUUAAUUUCAUUCCUUAAGCCAUGCCGGCGCUGAACAUAACGGCAGCUGCCUUCCCACAUAUUUCAAGCUUUCAUUUGUUACUAAAACAGUAUGUUUAAAAUAAGAUGAGAAUAUGAUAUUUUAUUUUUACCUGGG